RNAcentral lists this ribosomal RNA (410 nucleotides) under uncultured bacterium. RNAcentral's name for it is "bacterial SSU rRNA". It matches the Rfam family "Bacterial small subunit ribosomal RNA", at positions 129 to 518 of the family's 1533-position model. The record is from RNAcentral.
CCCAUAAGAGGGGGAUAACAUCCGGAAACGGGUGCUAAUACCGCAUAGUUUUCUUGAUCGCAUGAUUGAGAAAGGAAAGACGGCCUUUGUGCUGUCGCUUAUGGAUGGACCCGCGGCGUAGUUAGUUAGUUGGUGAGGUAACGGCUCACCAAGACGAUGAUACGUAGCCGACCUGAGAGGGUGAUCGGCCACAUUGGGACUGAGACACGGCCCAAACUCCUACGGGAAGGCAGCAGUAGGGGAAUCUUCCGCAAUGGACGAAAAGUCUGACGGAGCAACGCCGCGUGAGUGAAAGAAGGUUUUCGGAUCGUAAAACUCUGUUGUCAGAGAAGAACAAGUUGGAGAGUAACUGCUCCAGCCUUGACGGUAUCUGACCAGAAAGCCACGGCUAACUACGUGCCAGCCGCCGC